UACAGAGGGUGCGAGCGUUAAUCGGAAUUACUGGGCGUAAAGCGCACGUAGGUGGCUUUGCAAGUCGAUUGUGAAAUCCCCGGGCUUAACCUGGGAACUGCACUUGUGACUGUACGACUGGAGUACGGCAGAGGGGGAUGGAAUUCCGCGUGUAGCAGUGAAAUGCGUAGAUAUGCGGAGGAACACCGAUGGCGAAGGCAAUCCCCUGGGCCUGUACUGACGCUCAUGCACGAAAGCGUGGGGAGCAAACAGG
Molecule: ribosomal RNA, 253 nt
Filed under: uncultured bacterium
Lineage: Bacteria
Description: partial 16S ribosomal RNA
Rfam family: Bacterial small subunit ribosomal RNA
Source: RNAcentral